UGGCGUAGGUGGUGGUUUAAGUCUGUUGUGAAAGCCCUGGGCUCAACCUGGGAAUUGCAGUGGAUACUGGGCGACUAGAGUGUGGUAGAGGGUAGYGGAAUUCCUGGUGUAGCAGUGAAAUGCGUAGAGAUCAGGAGGAACAUCCAUGGCGAAGGCAGCUACCUGGACCAACACUGACACUGAGGCACGAAAGCGUGGGGAGCAAACAGGAUUAGAUACCCUGGUAGUCCACGCCCUAAACGAUGCGAACUGGAA
Molecule: ribosomal RNA, 255 nt
Filed under: Stenotrophomonas rhizophila
Lineage: Bacteria; Pseudomonadati; Pseudomonadota; Gammaproteobacteria; Lysobacterales; Lysobacteraceae
Description: partial 16S ribosomal RNA
Rfam family: Bacterial small subunit ribosomal RNA
Source: RNAcentral